RNAcentral lists this ribosomal RNA (450 nucleotides) under uncultured bacterium. Its description in RNAcentral is "partial 16S ribosomal RNA". It matches the Rfam family "Bacterial small subunit ribosomal RNA", at positions 354 to 796 of the family's 1533-position model. The record is from RNAcentral.
GUGGGGAAUAUUGGACAAUGGGCGAAAGCCUGAUCCAGCCAUGCCGCGUGUGUGAAGAAGGUCUUCGGAUUGUAAAGCACUUUAAGUUGGGAGGAAGGGCAGUAAGUUAAUACCUUGCUGUUUUGACGUUACCAACAGAAUAAGCACCGGCUAACUUCGUGCCAGCAGCCGCGGUAAUACGAAGGGUGCAAGCGUUAAUCGGAAUUACUGGGCGUAAAGCGCGCGUAGGUGGUUCAGCAAGGUGAAGGUGAAAUCCCCGGGCUCAACCUGGGAACUGCCUCCAAAACUGCAUGACUAGAGUACGGUAGAGGGUAGUGGAAUUUCCUGUGUAGCGGUGAAAUGCGUAGAUAUAGGAAGGAACACCAGUGGCGAAGGCGACUACCUAGACUGAUACUGACACUGAGGUGCGAAAGCGUGGGGAGCAAACAGGAUUAGAUACCCGUGUAGUCC